This 6429-nucleotide unclassified non-coding RNA is filed under the name Manduca sexta (tobacco hornworm). Its description in RNAcentral is "uncharacterized LOC115447727, transcript variant X3". Lineage: Eukaryota; Metazoa; Arthropoda; Insecta; Lepidoptera; Sphingidae. The record is from RNAcentral.
UCUAAAAAAUAUCAUAACUCGAAAACGAUUCGGAUACCCCAAGAGGUGCUCUAUCUCUGGACCUCCGCUUGAUACUAUUUAUUGGGACACCCUAUAUAAGACAUAGAUUUGGAUCAAAAAAUGAAAUUAAAAACGAAAUAAACUAACGAAUUUAUCUACAUCUAUUGAUUAUGUAUUUUCAUUGUCGAUUAAAAAAAUAUUAUUGCUCACUGUUUGACUAAAGCUGAAAAAAUAUGUUGUAUUAUUUAAUUGUAUUUUAUAAAACAGUAUAUCAAUAUCUACUCAUAUUCACUUUCUUUGAGCUACACUUCGCCUAAUACCAGGUGCAGGGAAGCAGCUUUGUCGAACUUCGAUAAAAAAAAGAGAUAUUACGUGAUUAGAUAAUGCGAUUACUAACAAAACGUCAUGCAUCGCCUACUGAUCUUGUUGGCAACUUAAAUGUAGAAGAACAACGAUAAAAUAAUAUUAUUACUUGACGAUUAAGGUAACAUGAUUCAACGAUCGAAUAAACGUUGGAAGAUACAUAGCUGAAGAUAGUGUGUAUUAUACGAAUCAACGCUAAACAAGUCAUUAAGAACAUGAUACAUAUUAUAUUGAACGAGAAAUGAUUCAUAUUGAUUAUCGCUAAGAUAAAUUAUUAUAUAAAUGCGCCUGUAUUUGAAUCAAGUUUCACUACAAUUCAGGCCGGCAAGAUGGUACUACAGUUCGAAGGUGCAGUUAAUAAUAUCAGUGAGGUCCAGCUGGCUUUCAUUCGCGACGUCCUAGAAAAAAGAGGAUAUAAAGAUACCAAAAUAACUAUUGAAGCAGUGGGUAAAGCAGGAGACAACUACUUAGCCAAUGUUAAAAGAGUAAUUGCUAAAAACGAACAUGGAGAACUCAGAAUGAUUGCGAAAAUUGCGUCACAACAUGAAGACUUAAGGGCCUCCGCAUCUUUACUGCAACUUUUCAGAAACGAACAUAUUUUCUAUACGUCCGUCCUUCCUAAAUAUCAACAGUUUGAAGAACAAGCAGAUUUACAUAAAAAUGACAGACUAAAAUUUGCAGAAUGUUACGGCUCAUUAUCCGAGCCACCGCAUGAAGUGAUCCUUUUGGAAGACUUGCAUGUAGCAGGCUUCAGCAUGUUGGAUAGAUUCACGCCACUAUCAGAUCAGUGCAUCAGGUCAGUGUUGAGAAACCUUGCCAUUCUGCAUUCUCUUUCCUUCGCACUUAAAUAUAAAGAACCAGAAACAUUCAAUGAAUAUAGAAAGAAUCUUGUUGACACGGCAGCAAAUGUAAACGAACACCCAGAGGUACUGUAUUUCUUAUCCCAUAUAGAAAAUACUGCCGCUGCCUUGGUCGAAGGAGAUGUGAGAAAAAGGCAUUUAAAUAAAUGUGUUACCUAUAGUUCGGCGCAGGGCAGCAAGAUGUUAAAAGAGGUCGCAGGUUCGAAACAGUCCGUCAUCCAACAAGGAGAUGCUUGGACUAACAAUAUAUUAUUUAAAUUUGAUGGAGAUUCAGUUGAAUCAGUGAUGAUAGACUACCAAAUGGUUAAAGAAAACAACCCAACAAACGAUCUCAUGUUCAUGAUCUUCGCCUGCAGCGACCACGAAGGUCGUGUGAAACAUUUCAACGACUGGCUCGACUACUACCACUCGGAGUUAGACAAAAGGCUCCACGACUUUGGUCUGAAAGCCAACUUCGUGUACCCUAGAGACCAGUUAGACGCUGACUUGAAGAGAUACGCCAGGAUUACGCUCGGUACAUUAGUUCUGUCAGCGACUGUUAGUGCAAUACAACCUUCCAAUGCUGAGAAACUGAAAGAUGCUAUGGAAGAAUAUUACGAACCUGAAGACGAAGCAGAAAAAGAAGCUAUGAUGAAAGAUUUUCUUUCAUUUGAUGAUAAAUAUAAGCAAUUAUACAAGAAGAGAUUGGAAGGAAUUACUGACAGUUUUAUUAAGUUCGGACUGUUGUAAAAAAUAUAAAAUUUUAAUUAAGGUUAUUUAUUUCUCAUACAUAAUUAAACCAUAUAUUGAUUAUUAAGGAAGAUAAUUAUAAUGAAGCCUAAUUAAGGCUAUGAAUAUAUUUCGUAUACCUAUUUGCUAAUAUGAUCUUUAUCUAAUUCUGAUAUUUAAUUUAAAUACGAGCUCUGUCAAAUGGAGCUAUGGAUCGCUACAAUGUAGUUUAGCAUAUUAUAUGUAUGUCGCUUUCUUAUUUUUAAUCCCGCAAAAAUCAUAUUAUGCUGAAUAGGCCUGUUUGCUCAUACCAUGUCAUUCGGAACAAGGCACAUUUGAAAAGUAGGAUUUUUUUAACUAUAUUUUUAUAUCGAUCUAUAAUGAACGUUGUGCGCAUAAGUGGUUUUGCGACGCUCCGUCUCGCUUCGCUAAGCGGCAUUUAGUGUGGCGGAAGAGAGUCCGUUUUGUAGCUAUGGCAGACGUGCAGUGUUUGUUUUUAGAUUCUAGUGUUGUUAUUGGUCGUUAGUUUAUAAGAAACUUUUUCAUGUUAUGUUUGUAAUAACUUAUACUAUUCUAGAUUGUUUUAAUGUUCAUUUUAUGUUUUCUUGUGCUUUUUUCUCUCCGAAAAUCUAUUAUUCGUGUAUUGUGUACUAUAAAUGUUUUUAAUAUUAUUAUUACAUAUUGGGACUAUUGCAUUAAGAGAGGUUUUUUAUGCAGGCAAAGUCGCGAUCAUCACCAUAGAAUUACAAUGAUAAAAUUUUUGACGAAUUGUUUGGUAGCAGAGAAGGAAACGUGGAAAAGGAUUUUAUUUUUCGAAAAAAUAAACUUAAUUUGCUAAUCGCAGACAUCAGGGUCGCUUUAAUCAUUUUUUAGCAUAGUUUACCCCCCAGGCUCGCGGAGCACGAUGUGGCCUGCUGACGCAUUUGCAUUUGCCCGCGAAGAGUCCUCUGCCUGAUUUGUCGUCAAACUUUGCAAAAUCAGUAGCUCAAAAACCCCUGCAGUUAACAUUUUUGUCAUGAAUUUACCAAACAUAUACCCACUGAUAUCUGGCCAGCAGGCGGACUUAGAUGCAAAAUUUGUAUCCACUUUCAAUAUUGGGACAGCCUUGAUUUAGCCAAUUACGGAAGUUGUCACUAUACUCCGUCCAACCACUUAUUUUACUUUUGACAUAAGCACGUCUAUGAAAAUCAAUAAUUAUUGUCAAGGAAAUUAUCUCAGGAAAUUAUAGAUGAAAAAACAUAUAAUACUUUCAUGGAUGCAGUUUUUUCUGUUCAAUAGUGAAGUGACUCUCUCUUUAGUUACGAUAUUUAUUGAGCCCACAGAUUGUGUUACAAAGUUAUUUAUUCCUUGUGCCUUGAAAAAAGGUGGCAGUGUAAUUAAAUAUUUAAAUAUACAUUAAUAUAGGAAAACAUGGUGUAUUUUCGUUAUCAUUCUCCAUAGCUAGUUACAGUUAAGUGUCGUGGGCGUAUACGGUCAUAGGUUGGAUCAAAAAUAACAACAAAGCAAGUUUUAGUGGUUAUAGUUUUAAUAUCAAAACAUUUAUAAUUCGCCAGUCUAUCACGCAAACUAACUACGGAACGUGAGACAGUCUUCCCGCAUACAGCACUAUUGCCAGUUGAUGUUAUUCGCACACUUGAUCACAACCAACUGAACGGCUACCUCGCCGACCGUUGAUAUUUCACCUGAUACCCCCAUUUCACUGUGUAGCGUAGAUUCUGUCGAACGCCGGUAGGUGGCGUUGUCAUUCUUUUUUAAAAAUCAACUUAAUGAUUCCGUCACACACCGAUAGAUGGCGUUAGCACUCUCCUUUAAAAAUCAACUCGAUGUCGGCAAAUAUAUUAUGAUUACUUCAUGGUGCCAAAUAAUAAAUAAGUACGUUUACCAUAGUGUUUCACAUAUAUAGUUUAUAUUACAUAAAAUAUAUCCAUUUAAACGUCUGGGCAUGUUUAUAAAAUAAUUUAUAUGUUGUGCAAAACUUAUAUAAUUUUUCAAUGUCUUAAAUCGAUUAAAAGUUUUUUACAAAUAAUAUCGAUUGUUAUAAGAAAUCGAAUCUGUAAUUCAUCAUCGCAUAUUGAUUAGUAUUCGAGCUGUCAAAAAUAAAAUAAAUAGUUGGACGGAGUAUAGUUAAUAGCCGGUAGAUCAUCUCUAUCAAAGGUUAAGGUCACACCGGCAACAUGGGACUCCAAUUCGAAGGUGAAAUUGAUAAUAUGAGUGAGGCCCAGCUGGCUUUCAUUCGCGAUGUUUUAGAAAAAAGAGGAUAUCAAGACACAAAAGUGACUAUUGAAGCAGUUGGCAAAGCGGGAGACAACUACAUAGCCAAUGUUAAAAGAGUCAUCGUCAAAAACGAACAUGGAGAAUUUAGAAUGAUUGCAAAAAUUGCGCCACAACAUGAAGGGAUAAGGAUGGCCACAGAAGUAGAACAACUAUUCAGAAACGAACAUAUUAUGUAUACUUUGAUCUUUCCUAAAUAUCAACAGUUUGAAGAAGAAGCAGAUUUGCAUAAAAAUGACAGACUAAAGUUUGCAAAGUGUUACGGAUCGCUAUCCGAACCACCGAAUGAAGUGAUCCUUUUGGAAGACAUGCAAGUAGAAGGCUUCAGCAUGAUGGAUAGAUUCACCCCACUAUCCGACGAAUGCAUCAGGUCAGUGCUGAAAAACUUCGCUAUUCUUCAUUCCCUCUCUUUCGCUCUUAAAUAUAAAGAGCCAGGAACAUUUAAUGAAUAUAAAAAGAAUCUUGUUGAUACGUGGACUAAAAUGGAUCAACGGCCUGACAUAACUGCAUACUUUUCCCAUGUAGAAAAUACAGCCGUUAUGACGGUUGAUGGAGAAGAUAGAAAAAGGUAUCUAAAGGAAUGUGUAAGCCAAGCUAUCCCACUGGCCUCCAAAAUAUCGAAAGAGGUUAAAGGCGCAAAACACUCCGUCAUCCAACAAGGAGAUUCAUGGACUAACAACAUAUUAUUCAAAUAUAAUGGAGACUCGCUCGAGCAAUCAGUGAUGAUAGACUACCAAUUGAGCAGAGAAAAUAACCCCACGUACGAUCUCAUGUACAUGAUCUUCGGCUGCAGCGACCACGAGACUCGAGUGAAACAUUUCAACGACUGGCUCGACUACUACCACUCGGAGUUAGACAAAAGGCUCCACGACUUUGGUCUGAAAGCCAACUACGUGUACCCUAGAGACCAACUAGAUGCUGACUUGAAGAGAUACGCUAAGUUUAUGCUAGGCAUAAUAGUUAUGGUGGCUACGAUUAGUGUUAUGAACCCUGCCAAUGCUGCAAAGAUGAAGGAUUCUAUGGAGCGUUUUGCCGAACCUAUUGAUGAUGAAGCAAAUGAAGCUUUACUUAAAGAAUUGAUGACAUUCGAUGACAACUUUAUACAAAUGUUUAGGAAGAGGGUGGAAGGAAUUGUUGACAGUUUUAUGAUGUUUGGACUGGUAUAAAAAUAUAUUUUAUUAAUUUACUUACAUAAACAAUUUAAACAUUUAUUUAGUAAGUAGGCAAGGAGUGUAAUAUUAUGAUUGAAAUUAUGAUUUUUACAUUGUCCUAUCAUUACGUAGUAUUUUAUUUUACUUAAAAUAUCAAGGAAAAUCAAUACACAAUACAAGACAGGCAACAGCGAUUCUUUAAAGUGAAGCCACUAAUAAAAUCCUGUAGUGGUGUACCGGUUUGAAGUAUAGUAUCCGUCUAAGCAAAGUAAUCAGCAUCAGACAGAAGAAGAACAGAUGCGUAUGAAAUGUGGUGUUGGCGCAAGAUGUUCAGAAUACCGCUGACUACACAACGAAUUAGCGUGUCUAUCCUAAAACAACUGCAUUUCGAACAAAGGCAAAGGCUUUCUGCGACCUGUUUGUUCAGAACCUUAAAGUACUUUAAACAUAUCGCCAGACGCGAAACAGACAACCUGGAUCAGCUGCGCAUGGUCUGAAAGUUGGAAGGCAAGAUCAUCGGGAUGAAACCCCAAAAGAUGGAUAGACCAUGUUUCCGAUGCAUUUAAUGUCUCCAUAAAUGCAGCAAUUCAUCAGACAAAAGACCAAAGUCGGUGGAGACAUAUUAUCACUAUGAAGAUAAUUGAGAGUAUCGUUACUCAAUACUCAAUAAGAUUGUAAGUGAUCAGAAGCAUGAUUAGCGCCACCUAUGUAGCUAAAAGAUAUGAUAUCAUAAAAUUUUACAAUAAACACCUAAAUUUACAGCUAGAUGUCGCUAGUAGUAUUUCGUAAAAUCUACACAAAUUAAAAUAAGCAUUGCCAAUCACGUCCGACUUUUUUCUUUCUAAUUUCUACAAUAUGGUAUGAUUACUAAUAAAUGUAUUUAUAAGUGUAUAGGAGUUCAUAUAAAUGUCAUAGAAUAAGGGAAAUAAAAAUGUUAUUACGUAAGAUAAUAUACUACACUAUGUACCUUAGGCAGCAGUUAAGCUGAUUCACUUCCUAUUGCAUUUUUUUUGUAAUUUUCUAUAUUUUUUUAUGUUUAUUUUUAAUUUUGUAACAAAAUUUAUUUUAGCAAUAAA